UAGGACUGUUGGAGACUUGGAGUUGAUCGUCUUCUUAAAAUGACCGCCUUGCUCUUCUGCUGCUUUUCCUCGGCUCCAGUGCGAGGCUUACUCAGGCGACAACCUCACCGCCUCGGUCAGCUAGCCUCGCAACCCAGCGUCUGCUUCCAACUUGGCCGAAAUAUCGGAAAUCGGAGCGCCAUCGAAAGACAGUUUCGGCUGGUGGCGCCGAAGGCUGCAAUGUCGAUGGGAAGCGGAACGCUUUUGCAGGAUACCUUAGCGUCGGCUUUGGCCUCGGGAGUGGCCCUUGCGAUUCUACGGUUCUGGGAGGAGAUGGCGAAGAGAGGGGUUUUUGAGCAGAAAAUGAACCGGAAGCUGGUGCAUACAAGUGUUGGGUUGGUGUUCAUACUUUUUUGGCCUCUAUUCAGUUCUAGCAACCUGGCACCAUUUCUUGCGGCUCUAGCUCCAGGUGUCAAUAUUAUACGCAUGUUGCUCUUGGGGCUUGGAAUUUGGAAAAAUGAAGCCAUAGUCAAGUCAAUGAGCAGACAAGGAGACUACAGGGAACUUCUGAAGGGGCCAUUAUAUUAUGCUUGCACCAUUACACUGGCUACCACAAUCUUUUGGCGAACAUCUCCCAUUGCAAUAUCCGCCAUCUGCAAUCUGUGUGCAGGAGAUGGCUUUGCCGACAUAGUGGGAAGACGGUAUGGAAAGCAAAAGUUGCCUUACAAUCCUAGCAAGUCAUAUGCUGGAACCAUUGCCAUGGCAGCUUCAGGUUUCUUAGCAUCUAUUUUGUGCAUGCAUUUCCUCGCUUCAUUUGGAUAUAUUGUAGAAAGCUGGAGCUUGGUCUUGGCUUUCUUUCUUGUAUCAGUAGCUUCUGCAAUUGUGGAGUCGCUGCCAAUCAGUUCACAGCUUGAUGACAACUUAACUGUUCCGUUAACAUCUUUUGUUGUUGGUGCUAUUGUUUUCUGAUCCAGAAUCUUUGGAAAUAGUUCUCCAAAUUGGAUGAAUCCUGUGCUUUCCUUCAGGAGUUCAUAAACCUGAGGUGCUCUGGUUAACUGGAUAGAUUGGAUAUCUGCUCUUUCAGCACGCCAGUAAAGCUGUGAGCCUGCUUUAAUGUGCUGGUUGAUCAGAAUUUGCUGUUGGUUUAACAAAUUGUACCCUACUGAUCCCUUCCCAAGUAAGGUAAACUACACCCAAGGUAUUAAUUUGGGCAUCUUUAGCUUAAGUUUCCAACAGUACUUUCUCUAGAGGGAAAUUUUUAUGAGUUUUCUGCAAUAUGAUUUUGUUAUGAAAAAUAAUAAUGUAUUAAAAAUUUAUGAAUGACAAUGAUUUGUCUUUCCUCUAA
Dendrobium catenatum is the source of this 1324-nucleotide RNA transcript. It is a transcript of the gene named probable phytol kinase 2, chloroplastic, with no coding region annotated. The record is from RefSeq and is a predicted model, not a curated record. Lineage: Eukaryota; Viridiplantae; Streptophyta; Magnoliopsida; Asparagales; Orchidaceae. The transcript is spliced from 7 exons.